Gossypium arboreum is the source of this 898-nucleotide long non-coding RNA. RefSeq lists it as uncharacterized. The record is from RefSeq and is a predicted model, not a curated record. NCBI's taxonomy places the organism in Eukaryota, Viridiplantae, Streptophyta, Magnoliopsida, Malvales, Malvaceae. The transcript is spliced from 2 exons.
GAUAUGGUUGUGUUUUGAUGAUUUAUAGUGGAUAAUGAAUGUUUGAUGUGUUAAAUAUGAGUUUUAUUCAAUGAAUUUCGGUAAAAAUGUCAAAAAGGGGUUAAAUUGUGAAAGUUACAAAUUGGUCAUAAGUGUGUGAAUUAGUGAGAAUUUGGAGUUUCCAUAGAAGAGAAAAAUGUUUAGCAUGUCUUAAACCUUAUAGAAAUUGAAUAAAAAUUAAUUUACGAGCAUUGGGGCAAAAGUGAAAAUAUGCAAAAGUUUAAGGGUCAAAAUAAAAAUUUGUAAAAAUAUGAUUUUUAGACCCAUAUGAAUAUUGUGACUGAUUGGUAGGCUAAAUGUGAUGUUAUGGAUGAUGAAAAUUGAGACUUGGACCUAGAACGGAAAGAAAUCGAUUUAUGGACGAGUAUGUCCUUUUCACAUUUGUGGUAUCGAGAGUUCCAGGUUAGCUCGGGUUGGAGGCCGUCAGAGAUAUUAUCACCCUAUCGAGUUAACGUUAUCGGAGUAAGUAAACUCAAGUGAUUCGAGUCUAUGGCAUGUAUAGGGUUUUUGUAACACCCCGAACCCGAGACCGUCGCCGGAGUCGAACGCGAGGUGUUAACAGACUUCAACCCACUUAUUGACAAUUUUCAGACAAGCUGCCAAUCUGAGUACUAGUCGCUCCAAAAUUCAUAACUUGAGUUUUACAACUCGAAAAUCAGUUCCGUAAAUUUUUCCUGAAACUAGACUCAUAUGUCCAUCUACAUAUUUUUUUCUAGAAUUUUGGUCGAGCCAAUUAGUACAGUUUAUUAGUUAAAGUCUCGCCUGUUGUAGGGAUCGACUACACUGACCUUUGUGCGUUACGAAUUGGAUAUCUCCCUGUACAGGGCUUCAAUACUGAUGCCGUUUGUUUCUAUAGAAA